ACUACACGGCGCAAUGCCCAACUUUAGCUCGGCAACGCUGCCACUGUGAGCGUUCGACUGAUAGAGCAAGCGGGAGCUGUGUUUGAGGUCUGGCAACAAUCGCAUCCCAACAGCUGAGAGCAUGGCGCAUGGCUGAGAACCAAGAUAAUUUGCGCCGGCAUUUGUCGGCUGCUCUUUGUUUCCUAGUGUUUUAUUGGUGACUGACGUUGCGGUUGUUAAUCGCGGUUAUGAUGGGUGAUUUCGUGCUUGUGCGUAUGGUGACCGAGCCUGAAUGAUUUCUGAGGCCACAGAUGGAACGGCCGAUGGGCAGCUUUGUUUACCUUCAAGACCGAGCGGUGCUGUGAGUUUGCUGAAAGCAACAACAGGACAGAAAAUAUGGGAUGUGGGCUUUGGAAGGACCAGCUGAUGAAAAAAUCAACGCCUGUGCUGCACAGUAAGGCUUCUGGCAGACCUGAAAGCAUCGAUAGAUAUGGUGCCUGCCUGUUAAAAUUGCAGCAGCUCGCUUCCCUGAAAGCUAGGCGCUGAAGAAGUACUUGACUAACCUACCCGCAUUGUCAGUGUGACAGUCUGCAUCACCAUUUGGCCUAUUUUGGGAUCCCACAAGACACGCUGCUACCCUGGGUGUUGUACCUCGGUCAAUAGCUGAAAUUCUGCAAGCCCCAUCGAAGCCAACUGUCAUCCGCAUCCAAUGGAAGAAACUCAUUGUUCGGGUUGUCAUAAUUUACCUUAAGCUGAAGCUAGAAGCAGGGUAGAAACAGCAUAUAUUCUAAAAGAAUUUACCACUGCAUGCCAUCGGGUGGCUACACCCAACAGGCUACUGUCUUGAACAGAGAUGGUGUUUUAUCCUAGAAUAUCUUUGUCAGCAGUACUACUCCUUCUGUUUAUAUCCUUGGAAACAAACAAGGAAGACUCCAAAGGCAACAUAGGAGAAAUUACUGGUACUUACUAAUUGAAAUAAAGAAAUGACAAAUUAAUGGCAAUGAAAGUGGAUGAGAAAACAACUUGCCAUAGGCGUGCGAUGCUCUAACCAAUUGUGCUACCGCGGCGCCGUUUUCCCAUCCACUUUUUGUGUAUUUAUAUUUUACUACUAGAACGAACUACUACUACUACUAGAACUAGAUCAUUCCCCACCUGCAGCAAGUUGUUUUUUCAUUCACUUUCAUUGAUAUUAAUUUAUAAUUUCAUUAAUUCAAUUAGUAAGUACAAGUAAUUUUCCCUAUGUUGUCUUUGGUGAUUUUGCUUGUUGGCUUCUCAAGAUAUGAUUAUUAAAAAUCGCGUCCCUCGGUUAACCCCCUUUCUUAAUUCUCCUUCACUACUGCUUCUGUUUGUAGGAUAAGCGUUCACGCUUUAUUGCAUACUAUCAAAGUACAAAAAGGCGAGAAUAAUGUUAAUUUAUUAUUUUAGAAAAAAAAUUGGCACUUGAAUUGACCAGAAAUUAUUAAGGGGUACAUACUGUCUUAAUAAAUAUGACUGAAGAAAGGACAUCUGGAUGAAAAAUACAAUGACUUCAGCUACAACGUGCCUAUGAAGGCAAAUCCAUGCAGUCAAACUGCUUUUAGUGGUGAUGUUUGAGCUGGCAGGAUGUCAGAAAAGUGAUAGAUGUCUUAAGCAGAAUAUUUUGACGGCUAUUAUAGUGCAGCAGGACAUUAACUGGACCUCUCCUCUACUUGCACACCAGUGCAAGCGCAGCAUACACAGCACAGUUGGAAAUGCAGUUGCUCUUCGUGCGUGUGUUGGCAACCGGGUUCCUGCAUAAGAGAAAAGGUUGGUAAUUAACAUAGAAUGACUUUAAAAAAGGUCCAUGAAAACUAGCUUAGGUAUUGUAUUCGUUGUCUUUAGUUUACAUUUCGUAAUAAUGCAUUCGUUUAAGAAUUUUGUGUUCUAGAGCGCGAUUUUUUACAUUAUUUAGCUCAUACUGUUUUUAUUUAUUUUUAUUUGCAAAGAAACAUUUUUCAGCUAGUCUACCGCUUGCUCAGCAAGACCGACAACAGCGAUAUAACACUUACAUAAUGCACCCUAUAGAGAGCUGGGAUGUUCGCAAUAAAGGUGUGCGAUAUAUAUCUGCUACCACUUGCUAGCACUGUCUGUAUUAGGAGCUGUCACUACACUGCUACACCUUUAUUUAUCGGAAUAAAAAAUAAUGUGAUGUACAAAAACUCUA
RNAcentral lists this long non-coding RNA (2161 nucleotides) under Dermacentor andersoni. RNAcentral's name for it is "uncharacterized LOC126516445". Lineage: Eukaryota; Metazoa; Arthropoda; Arachnida; Ixodida; Ixodidae. The record is from RNAcentral.